This 73-nucleotide transfer RNA is filed under the name Rhodospirillales bacterium. RNAcentral describes it as "tRNA-Thr". It matches the Rfam family "tRNA". From Rfam's summary of the family: Transfer RNA (tRNA) molecules are approximately 80 nucleotides in length. Lineage: Bacteria; Pseudomonadati; Pseudomonadota; Alphaproteobacteria; Rhodospirillales. The record is from RNAcentral.
GCCGGGAUAGCUCAGUCGGUAGAGCAACCGAUUUGUAAUCGGUAGGUCGUCGGUUCGAGUCCGACCCCCGGCA